Molecule: ribosomal RNA, 484 nt
Filed under: uncultured bacterium
Lineage: Bacteria
Description: partial 16S ribosomal RNA
Rfam family: Bacterial small subunit ribosomal RNA
Source: RNAcentral
AUUGAACGCUGGCGGCAGGCCUAACACAUGCAAGUCGAGCGGAUGAAGGGAGCUUGCUCCUGGAUUCAGCGGCGGACGGGUGAGUAAUGCCUAGGAAUCUGCCUGGUAGUGGGGGAUAACGUCCGGAAACGGGCGCUAAUACCGCAUACGUCCUGAGGGAGAAAGUGUGGGAUCUUCGCACCUCACGCUAUCAGAUGACCCUAGGUCCGAUUAGCUAGUUGGUGGGGUAAAGGCCUACCCAGGCGACGAUCCGUAACUGGUCUGAGAGGAUGAUCAGUCACACUGGAACUGGGACACGGUCAAGACUCCUACGGGAGGCAGCAGUGGGGAAGAUUGGACAAUGGGCGAAAGCCUGAUCCAGCCAUGCCGCGUGUGUGAAGAAGGUCUUCGGAUUGUAAAGCACUUUAAGUUGGGAGGAAGGGCAGUAAGUUAAUACCGUGCUGUUUUGACGUUACCAACAGAAUAAGCACCGGCUAACUUCGUG